AUAAAUUUGGCCAUUAUGUGGUCAGGGCCAACCGUUGCCUGAAAAAGAGGU
This 51-nucleotide non-coding RNA is filed under the name Enterobacter cloacae. RNAcentral's name for it is "algC RNA". It matches the Rfam family "algC RNA". The record is from RNAcentral. Lineage: Bacteria; Pseudomonadati; Pseudomonadota; Gammaproteobacteria; Enterobacterales; Enterobacteriaceae.